GCGCUCGCUUUGGCAGCACAUACACUAAAAUUGGAACGAUAUAGAGAUUAUCAUGGUCCCUGCCCAAGGAUGACGUGGGAAUUCAUGAAAUGUUCCAUAUUUUU
This is a small nuclear RNA of Loxodonta africana (African savanna elephant), 104 nucleotides long. The record is from Ensembl. Lineage: Eukaryota; Metazoa; Chordata; Mammalia; Proboscidea; Elephantidae.